Molecule: long non-coding RNA, 1042 nt
Filed under: Ailuropoda melanoleuca (giant panda)
Lineage: Eukaryota; Metazoa; Chordata; Mammalia; Carnivora; Ursidae
Description: lncRNA (ENSAMEG00000023688.1)
Source: RNAcentral
CCCCCUCUGGGGAGCUCGCCCAGGCCCCGCCUCCCCGGGGAGGGGGCUUCGCCGCCGCCGCCCCCGCCCCGGAGCCCGCGAAAGCAGCGCGAGGUCCUACGGUCCCGCCGCUGCCCAGGCCGGGAUCCGCGCUCACACCUGCCGGCCGCCGCCGUCAGCGCCGCUGCGGACCCGGCGGCGUCGCAGCCUUCUCUGACGUCAGCACGCCGGGGCGGCCCCGCCCCUCGGCCCCCGGGGGAGCUGGGCGGGCUGGGGCUGGGGCUGGGGCUGCCGUGACUCGGGAGCAGACGCACGCUUGGGCGGCCGGCGGAACCGAGGCGCCAGCCUUUCCUCGUCGGUGAGAAGAGCACGGAACUGUGCAGGCGAAUACAGGAUGAUUUUCAGUGAGCUGUGAUGGAGAGACAUGGACCAGCAUGGAGCAUUUGGGAAGUGGAAGGAAAAUGUAGCAGUGUGGGAUAGAAGACGGCAUGGGGCUGGGAGUUAGAACCGGUCCCAACAGCUGGAGAAUUGCUGAUAAGGAACUUUGUCUCACUGGAGAAGUGAGAGAGCAGCAGAGUGAGACCAAGCACAAAUGGAUGUGCCUCCACUGGGAAGAAAAUAUCAGCCAUGAAGAUCAGGAUGUCCCUCAACAUCAGCAUAGGGAGCAUGAUCCAUAGCAGGUACUCUGCUAAUUGCUGUCCCUGAAUCUUCCCACAUCAUGGUGUAAAGUGACUCCCUAUUGCCGACUCAUCAAAUACAACAUUUCUGGAUUUCAAAUCACUCAUAGUCUGGCCUCCCCCCUUAGAUAAAAUGAAUGGUAAAAUGUAUAAUUUACAAAAUAAUGAUUUAAAAAAUGUAUUUGUACUCAUCACUCACUUUUAAGAAAUAAAAUAUUACAAAUACCCAACCCAUCCUCCAUUGUAUUCUCCUCUUAAUCCCAAAGGUAACUACUAUCCUGAGUUUGAGUUUAAUAUCCUGCAGCUCAUCAUACUUUUAAUACAGAUGUAUGUAUCCAUACGGUAUUAUUUGCAUGAUUUCAAACCUGAAAUAGUACUAUUAUUGU